This 404-nucleotide ribosomal RNA is filed under the name Verrucomicrobiota bacterium. Its description in RNAcentral is "Verrucomicrobia bacterium partial 16S ribosomal RNA". It matches the Rfam family "Bacterial small subunit ribosomal RNA", at positions 355 to 776 of the family's 1533-position model. The record is from RNAcentral. Lineage: Bacteria; Pseudomonadati; Verrucomicrobiota.
UGGGGAAUAUUGCACAAUGGGGGAAACCCUGAUGCAGCGACGCCGCGUGAGCGAUGAAGGCUUUCGAGUCGUAAAGCUCUGUCCUAUGGGAAGAUAAUGACGGUACCAUAGAAGAAAGCCCCGGCUAAUUACGUGCCAGCAGCCGCGGUAAUACGUAAGGGGCGAGCGUUGUCCGGAAUUAUUGGGCGUAAAGAGUGCGUAGGCGGCAAAAUAAGUCAGAUGUGAAAACUAAGGGCUCAACCCAUAGAUUGCAUCUGAAACUGAUAUGCUUGAGUCAAGGAGAGGAAAGUGGAAUUCCUAGUGUAGCGGUGGAAUGCGUAGAUAUUAGGGGGAAUACCGGUGGAGAAGGCGGCUUUCUGGACUUGAACUGACGCUGAGGCACGAAAGCGUGGGGAGCAAACAGG